This 566-nucleotide ribosomal RNA is filed under the name Circinaria cerebroides. RNAcentral describes it as "eukaryotic LSU rRNA". The stretch from base 220 to 373 matches the Rfam family "5.8S ribosomal RNA". Lineage: Eukaryota; Fungi; Ascomycota; Lecanoromycetes; Pertusariales; Megasporaceae. The record is from RNAcentral.
CUUGGGGCGAGGAUCAUUACCGAGAUAGGGUCCCUUUUCGGGGACUCGACCCUCCCACCCUUUGUGUAUAUACCUCUGUUGCUUCGGCGGGUCACCGCGGCCCUCCACCCCGGUAUACGAUAGUUGUGCUGGACUCGUCGAGAGCCCCGCCCCGCCAGAAGCCCAUUCAAUUCUGACUUAAUAUCAGUGAUGUCUGAGCACACUGCGAAAUAAAAUUAAAACUUUCAACAACGGAUCUCUUGGUUCUGGCAUCGAUGAAGAACGCAGCGAAAUGCGAUAAGUAAUGUGAAUUGCAGAAUUCAGUGAAUCAUCGAAUCUUUGAACGCACAUUGCGCCCUCUGGUAUUCCGGGGGGCAUGCCUGUUCGAGCGUCAUUACACCUCUCAAGCUCUGCUUGGUAUUGGGCUUUCGUCCCCCGUGGACGGGUCUAAAAGUCAGUGGCAGUUUAGCCGGUGCUCAAGCGUAGUAACAUUAUAUCCGCUUUGGAGUCACCGGGCGGACCCGCCAGAUAACCCUAUUAUAUUUUCAAUGGUUGACCUCGGAUCAGGUAGGGAUACCCGCUCNUUU